This 366-nucleotide unclassified non-coding RNA is filed under the name soil metagenome. RNAcentral's name for it is "partial contains 5.8S ribosomal RNA, internal transcribed spacer 2, and large subunit ribosomal RNA". The stretch from base 1 to 120 matches the Rfam family "5.8S ribosomal RNA", at positions 35 to 154 of the family's 154-position model. The record is from RNAcentral.
GAUGAAGAACGUAGCGAAAUGCGAUAAGUAAUGUGAUUUGCAGAAUUCAGUGAAUCAUCGAAUCUUUGAACGCACAUUGCGCCCGCCAGUAUUCUGGCGGGCAUGCCUGUUCGAGCGUCAUUUCAACCCUCAGGUCCCCCUUUUCGGAGGGGGAGACACCCUGGUGUUGGGGGACGGCCUGGCCUUCUGCGCCGCGCCGCCCCCGAAAUGAAUUGGCGGCCUCGUCGCGUGCCACCCCUGCGUAGUAGCACAACCUCGCAACGGGAGCCCGGCGCGGCCACUGCCGUAAAACGCCCAACUUUUAAGAGUUGACCUCGAAUCAGGUAGGAAUACCCGCUGAACUUAAGCAUAUCAAUAAGCGGAGGA